This 218-nucleotide ribosomal RNA is filed under the name uncultured bacterium. RNAcentral describes it as "partial 16S ribosomal RNA". It matches the Rfam family "Bacterial small subunit ribosomal RNA", at positions 114 to 334 of the family's 1533-position model. The record is from RNAcentral.
CGCGUGGGAACGUAUCCUUUUCUACGGAAUAACGCAUGGAAACGUGUGCUAAUACCGUAUGCGCCCAUUCACGGUGGACGUGAUUGGGGAAAGAUUUAUCGGGGAAGGGACGGCCCGCGUUGGAUUAGCUAGUUGGUGGGGUAACGGCCUACCAAGGCGACGAUCCAUAGCUGGUCUGAGAGGAUGAUCAGCCACAUUGGGACUGAGACACGGCCCAA